This 4179-nucleotide unclassified non-coding RNA is filed under the name Leishmania donovani. RNAcentral's name for it is "gene:LdHU3.18.0080(CDS-product:zinc-finger_of_a_C 2HC-type/Double_zinc_ribbon_putative)". The record is from RNAcentral. Lineage: Eukaryota; Euglenozoa; Kinetoplastea; Trypanosomatida; Trypanosomatidae.
ACGUCGUCGUCCUUUCGCCUUCGCCGCGACUCCCCCUUUGCACCACCGUUUCUCUUCCACUUUGCCUUUUUGUUUGGCCCUUCCCCGUCUCCGGUGCGGGGUGUGGAAAGAAGGACUCUCUGCGGGUGAAAGCCGUGCGCACUUGAAGCUUCUUUCGGACGUGGCACUAGUCCUUCCAAAGCCGCGAGAAGAGAGAAACGAUGCCUCCUUUAUUAACGGAGGUGAAGCCGGCGGCUCACCGCCCUCAGUUCCGCGUCUGCUAUCUGUGCGGUCAGCAGUUCGGUAGCGCCUCCAUUGGCAUUCAUGUCCCCCAGUGCUACCAGAAGAAGCUCAGUCAGUGGGAAGUGACUGACCCGGCUGUCCGAGGCCCAAAGCCCAAGCACCCCGACACGGUCAAGUGGAAAGGCGGCAACGGUGCCUCGGUUGAGGCCAUCAAUAAAGAACAAUAUCAAGAGUUCAACUCCCAGCUAGUUGCGUGUCCGCACUGCGCCCGCACAUUUCUGCCAGACCGGCUGCCCGUGCACCUGCGCGGCUGCAAAGGUGAUGGCAAGGUUGGCGUCCCACCCUCCAAAAUGAAGGCGGACGGGGGUGGGGGUAGCACACCAGGAGGCGGCAAACCCAAGAGCGAGCCGCGGCGCGCGGCCGGACGCCGGUCGCUCUCCCCCGGCCCCCCGCUUCUCCCGACGUGUUACUUGUGCGGGCAGCAGUUCGGCACCGCCUCCAUCGGGAUCCACGUGCCGCAGUGCUACGAAAAGAAGCUGGCACAGUGGCAGAACGCCGACCCACGCUCGCGUGGCCACCCUCCAAAGCACCCCGACACGGUGAAUUGGCGCGGCCGCCCCGGCGCCUCACCGCGCGAGCAGGCCGAGGAGCAGUUCCAGGAGUUCAUGAACAACCUAGAGGAGUGCCCCAACUGCAGUCGCAGAUUCUUGCCAGAUCGGCUAGUGGUGCACUUGCGCUCAUGCCGCCCCGACAAUCCACCCAAGCCAACCUCUCCACGCAAGGCAAAGGCGGCUGGGGGCGCCAGAUGUCCAACGUCCACAACGGCGACGACACCAGCGGAGACUGCCGCCCCAAAGGCCAGCGUCGGUGAUCAGACACCGCGCAGUGAGAAGCAGCAGCAGAAGCAAGACCCGCCGACCUCCUCCGCCGGCGAGGACUGGAUUCACCCGAAGCGCAACCGGCUCACUCGCCACUCCACCCUCCCCGCUGAGAGCCGCGUGUGUCCGCAGUGCGAUGCAGUGGAGUACGACGCCGAUGCGAAGUUCUGUCGCGAUUGCGGUCACAGCUUCGUGUCCAAGCAGCUCUCCAGCCCGUGCCAGCACUGUGGGGAGCGCAUCCCGCAUGGCUCGCGGUUUUGCGGAACGUGCGGGCAGCCCGUUCAAGGCGCGUCGGCGCAUGAGCGUACCCCAGGCGGGCCGAACAAGCACGCGUCAACGGUGCGCAGCGUCGUGUGCCCGGCGUGCGAGGCGAUCAGCGACGCCGACGGCAACUUUUGCGACAACUGCGGCGCCGCGCUUGGCGAUGCCGAUCUCACCCCAGCCCCUGCAGCAGCAGGAGCAGCUGCUACGCCUCCUUCCUUCCGUGCGGGAGGUUCUACUGAGCACAAGGCGGUGCUUUAUUGCGCCAAGUGCAACGAAACUGUGGAGGACACAACGGCUGUUUUUUGCGAGGACUGCGGAGGGCGACUAGAGGCACUGAAGGUGCCCACCACAAAAGACGGUGGUCCGCCUCGUCGUGCUGACGGCACACUACCGCCAUCCCAUGUUGCACGCCUGAGGGCCGCGAUGACAAGCAGGCCACAGCAGCCCUCUGCGAGCGAACCAGCCAAAACCACCACAGCGCCGGUGGCCAGCUCUGCCGCUCCGGCACGACCCGCGACGCGCAGCGCCUGCCCCCCUACAGAAGAACACACUGAUGAUGAGUCCCGCGCAUACGCUGAAGAUGACCUGGAGCGGGUGCCGUGCAGUCACUGUGGUCGCCGGUUUGCCUCCGAGUCUCUGGCAAAGCAUGAGCGCAUCUGCGGCUCGCAGAAGAAGCGGCGCGUCUUCAAUGCAACAAAGCAGCGGCUGCCAGAGGGGGCCAUUGCCGCAGCGAAGCCCUCUGCCGGGUCGCAGCCGACUGCCCCGAAGCGCGAUUGGAAGGCGGAGAGUGAAUCGUUUCGCCGCGCGCUGCGCGAGGCUCGGCAGGUGGAUCAAGUCUUGAAAGCAGGCGGAACCGCCAAGGACUUGCCACCACCAACGUACUCGACGAAUCCCGAUUACGUGCCCUGUCCCCAUUGCCAGCGCCGCUUUGCGCCCGACGUCGCGGCGCGUCAUAUUCCGCGAUGUGCGAACACAGUGAACCGCCCAAAGCCACCCCCACGCCGUCGUUGAGAGGCCCCCUCCCUCCUCCCUCCCCCCCCCACACAGGCAUUUCACCGGGCGCACUUCUGUGCAGCUCUCUUCUUUGCGCUCUUGAGGGUAUGCCCUCUUUUUCACCCAUGUAGACUACAGUGUUUCUCCAUUGAUCAUGCUUGUACAGUUUACUGUUUCCUUUUGUUUCAUGGCUUCACUAAUAAGCAUGCGUGUGCGUCUCUUUCUUGUUCUCCGUUUGCUCUUCUUGGCGGCAGCCGUGCCACAACAGAAGAACACCGACGCUCGGCUCACAAGACGACAGUUGACCAUCGCCACCCCGUUUCCGCAGAGGCACCUGUCCGUACUUCGGCUUCCGGCAGCGGCAAGAUGACGUGCUGCCAACGACACAGCUAGCGCUGCGGCAGCCACGCACCCGACCGCGGUUGCGAUGAGGGCGUUCUGCCUGGUGUGUGGUGCGCGGUAUGCUACGCAAGAGUCGCGGAUCGCUCAGCGUGGGUGUCGCAACCCACGUCGUUCCUCACACCAUGGCUCUGCACGCAGUGUUGUGACUACGCACAUCUCUCGCGCGCUGCGCGGGCUUCCCGGGCUUCCCGGGCUUCCCGGGUUGUGUGUCUAGGGCUGCCCCCCGCCCCCACCCCCACCCCCUGUACGCCCUCACAAGGACAAGGUGUGAGCUCUCUGUGUGCAGGCGCAUGUCUAUCCGCGGUUCCCUUCCGCUUGGCACGCGCACCCCUGCGAGUGGCGUGCGGGAGCUCAGAGGAAGGCAGAAUGCCCCAUGCCGCCACCGACGCAUAACGGCGGCCCCACCUGUCGCAGCGCAUGCGAGCACGCUAUCCAGAGACGCCCCGUCCAUGGCAUUGACAGAAGCUGCAAGAUGACGGCAGCGAGCCCCCGAGGCAACAGCGCCGUCCUGAAUCAGGCGCCAAUAUGCGAGAAUGCGGGCACCGCGCACACGUGCGGCUAGCCGUAGCUGGCACGGUGUGCCACAUCCCGAGCAAAGCAGGCAGAGGCCAGCAGCGCAAGAGCGAUGACCGAGGAGGGCGCGAAGAGAUCUAUACCGAUCAGCGCCACGGCGCAUGUGUGUGCGAGGCAUGCGGCGCCCCCCCUGAGUCUGACCGCGUAGGCUCAUGAGGCGCAGAUGCCGGAAGCACGACGAGAGCAGUCCGAUAGGCACCAUCGAGUCCUCUGGACUUCUGCGUGAAGAGCCCCCCCACGCGAGAUGAUGGAGCGCCGCGGCUUGAGGCGACCGGGGGCGAAGCAUGGUAUACAGGCCGUGCACGGGGCUUCGGGGGGGGGGGCUGUAACCUGGGGUUGCGCAACAUCCCCCCUGCACUCAUGCGGCAUGUGCAUGGGCGCCGCCCUGCUACCCGCACAACUGGCGCCACCGGCCUCCGCGCUCAAGCGCAGGACCCUGGACGCGGCCCGCUGUGAAUCAAGGCAUGCUGUCCGCCCGAGUCCCCUCUGACGCUGAUCGCGCCGCAAGCAACGAGAGGAACGGACGAGGAAGGACAGGAGGAACCCGCUCGACGGCCAGGACUUGGCCGCAGUGCAGCACCGGUACAUGAGCUAUGAUUGCUUGCACAUAUAUCCCGACGUGUUGCUCACUCAAUGGUGCCAUUGAAAACUAAGUGAUUUCUCUGCGGUAGCGCAGCGUUGCUCCUUCUCCGCAAGGUAUACACCGGCUUGCAGCUAAUCCAUAACUUGUUUCUAGCGCACGCUACAGAGAGGGAGGGCUCGCCAACAGUGCGGAAACUGCUGCUGAACAUGACAGCUGUGAGCCUCCCUUUCCUCUCGACAAAAAAAAAGAUGCUCGGAUGUGUUC